GACGAACCGUGCGAGCGUUAUUCGGAAUCACUGGGCUUAAAGGGUGCGUAGGCGGGUUGCCAAGUCUGGGGUGAAAUCCUCCGGCUUAACCGGAGAACUGCCGUGGAUACUGGCGGCCUCGAGGGGUGUAGGGGCUUGCGGAACUGUGCGUGGAGCGGUGAAAUGCGUUGAUAUGCACAGGAACUCCGGUGGCGAAAGCGGCGAGCUGGACACCUUCUGACGCUGAGGCACGAAAGCCAGGGGAGCGAACAGG
This 253-nucleotide ribosomal RNA is filed under the name uncultured bacterium. RNAcentral describes it as "partial 16S ribosomal RNA". It matches the Rfam family "Bacterial small subunit ribosomal RNA", at positions 524 to 776 of the family's 1533-position model. The record is from RNAcentral.